This 440-nucleotide ribosomal RNA is filed under the name uncultured bacterium. RNAcentral describes it as "partial 16S ribosomal RNA". It matches the Rfam family "Bacterial small subunit ribosomal RNA", at positions 338 to 795 of the family's 1533-position model. The record is from RNAcentral.
CCUACGGGUGGCAGCAGUGGGGGAUAUUGCACAAUGGGGGGAACCCUGAUGCAGCGACGCCGCGUGGGUGAAGAAGGGCCUCGGCGCGGAAAGCCCUGUCAGCAGGGAAGAAAAAGACGGUACCUGAAGAAGAAGACCCGGCUAACGACGGGCCAGCAGCCGCGGGAAUCCGUAGGGGGCAAGCGUUCGCCGGAGUUCCGGGGUGUCAAGGGGGCGAAGCCGGCGCUGCAAGGCAGGAGGGAAAGCCCGGGGCCCACCCCCGGGACUGCUCUUGGACCUGCGUGGCUGGAGUGCAGGAGGGGCAGUCGUACUUCCUGUUGUAGCGGUGAACUGCGUAGAUAUCAGGAGGACCACCGGUGGCGAAGGCGUCCUGCUGGACUGCAACUGACGUUGAGGCCCGAAAGCGUGGGGAGCACACAGGAUUAGAUACCCGGGUAGUC